This is a non-coding RNA of Myotis lucifugus (little brown bat), 76 nucleotides long. NCBI's taxonomy places the organism in Eukaryota, Metazoa, Chordata, Mammalia, Chiroptera, Vespertilionidae. The record is from Rfam.
GAGAUAUCUCUAUGGAGCAGAACUUGCUUCAGUGGGGCUUUGGUGCUCACUGAGUCUGCUCCUUGAGUGUGUCACU